UACGGAGGAUGCGAGCGUUAUCCGGAUUUAUUGGGUUUAAAGGGUGCGCAGGCGGCGAGUUAAGUCAGCGGUAAAAUUUCGGGGCUCAACCCCGACAAGCCGUUGAAACUGGUGAUCUUGAGUGGGCGAGAAGUAUGCGGAAUGCGUGGUGUAGCGGUGAAAUGCAUAGAUAUCACGCAGAACUCCGAUUGCGAAGGCAGCAUACCGGCGCCCGACUGACGCUGAGGCACGAAAGCGUGGGGAUCGAACAGG
This 252-nucleotide ribosomal RNA is filed under the name uncultured Bacteroidales bacterium. Its description in RNAcentral is "partial 16S ribosomal RNA". It matches the Rfam family "Bacterial small subunit ribosomal RNA", at positions 524 to 776 of the family's 1533-position model. The record is from RNAcentral. Lineage: Bacteria; Pseudomonadati; Bacteroidota; Bacteroidia; Bacteroidales.